Regulatory RNA element from Varibaculum cambriense DORA_20, 78 nucleotides. It matches the Rfam family "ZMP/ZTP riboswitch aptamer (pfl RNA motif)". From Rfam's summary of the family: Previously known as pfl RNA. ZMP is also known as AICAR. The record is from Rfam. NCBI's taxonomy places the organism in Bacteria, Bacillati, Actinomycetota, Actinomycetes, Actinomycetales, Actinomycetaceae.
GGGCGUAACCGUGACUGGCGUAGGUGGGAUACCACCGGGGAACAAGUGGUCAAUCAGUCGCUCGCCUGGGCUGAUUUG